RNAcentral lists this ribosomal RNA (468 nucleotides) under uncultured bacterium. RNAcentral's name for it is "partial 16S ribosomal RNA". It matches the Rfam family "Bacterial small subunit ribosomal RNA", at positions 28 to 507 of the family's 1533-position model. The record is from RNAcentral.
GACGAACGCUGGCGGCGUGCUUAACACAUGCAAGUCGAACGGAAAGGCCCUGCUUUUGUGGGGUGCUCGAGUGGCGAACGGGUGAGUAACACGUGAGUAACCUGCCCUUGACUUUGGGAUAACUUCAGGAAACUGGGGCUAAUACUGGAUAGGAGCUCCUGCUGCAUGGUGGGGGUUGGAAAGUUUCGGCGGUUGGGGAUGGACUCGCGGCUUAUCAGCUUGUUGGUGGGGUAGUGGCUUACCAAGGCUUUGACGGGUAGCCGGCCUGAGAGGGUGACCGGCCACAUUGGUACUGAGAGACGGCCCAGACUCCUACGGGAGGCAGCAGUGGGGAAUAUUGCACAAUGGGCGGAAGCCUGAUGCAGCAACGCCGCGUGCGGGAUGACGGCCUUCGGGUUGUAAACCGCUUUCGCCUGUGACGAAGCGUGAGUGACGGUAAUGGGUAAAGAAGCACCGGCUAACUACGUG